AACGAACGCUGGCGGCAGGCCUAAUACGUGCAAGUCGAGGGGCCCGUAAGGGCACCGGCGCACGGGUGCGUAACGCGUGGGAAUAUACCCUUCACUACGGAACAACGUCGGGAAACUGACGCUAAUACCGUAUGAUGACUCCGGUCCAAAGAUUUAUCGGUGAAGGAUUAGCCCGCGUCUGAUUAGCUAGUUGGUGAGGUAACGGCUCACCAAGGCGACGAUCAGUAGCUGGUCCGAGAGGAUGAUCAGCCACACUGGGACUGAGACACGGCCCAGACUCCUACGGGAGGCAGCAGUAAGGAAUAUUGGACAAUGGAGGAAACUCUGAUCCAGCCAUGCCGCGUGAGUGAAGAAGGCCUUCGGGUUGUAAAGCUCUUUUAAUCGUGAAGAUAAUGACGGUAGCGAUAGAAAAAGCUCCGGCUAAAUUCGAGCCAGCAGCCGCCGUAA
RNAcentral lists this ribosomal RNA (447 nucleotides) under uncultured bacterium. RNAcentral's name for it is "partial 16S ribosomal RNA". It matches the Rfam family "Bacterial small subunit ribosomal RNA", at positions 29 to 523 of the family's 1533-position model. The record is from RNAcentral.